RNAcentral lists this ribosomal RNA (220 nucleotides) under Escherichia coli. RNAcentral describes it as "partial 16S ribosomal RNA". It matches the Rfam family "Bacterial small subunit ribosomal RNA", at positions 1 to 217 of the family's 1533-position model. The record is from RNAcentral. Lineage: Bacteria; Pseudomonadati; Pseudomonadota; Gammaproteobacteria; Enterobacterales; Enterobacteriaceae.
AAAUUGAAGAGUUUGAUCAUGGCUCAGAUUGAACGCUGGCGGCAGGCCUAACACAUGCAAGUCGAACGGUAACAGGAAACAGCUUGCUGUUUCGCUGACGAGUGGCGGACGGGUGAGUAAUGUCUGGGAAACUGCCCGAUGGAGGGGGAUAACUACUGGAAACGGUAGCUAAUACCGCAUAACGUCGCAAGACCAAAGAGGGGGACCUUAGGGCCUCUUG